ACCAGAGAGGAGACACUAGCUCCAGGGAGGAGCCCUGCCUUCAGGUAGGAGUUCUGCCCCCAGGUGGAGCUCCCUGCCAGGCUGAGAAAACCCUGGAGCAGGCCUUCAAUUCACUCGUGAAGACUGAAGACAAGAAGUCUCUGCAGAGAGGCUCAGAUCCCAGGACAGACACCCCCAUCCGAGGCUGAAGUAGAAGCUGCAGGCUGCAAGACCACAGGCCAGAAAAGCGUGAGACCCUAUGUUCUGGCAAAGAGAGCCUGCAUUAAAGUUGAAGCCACAAGGUCUCUAAGCGGUUCCGCAACUGCUCACAGUGUUUAUCAAGCACAAUGGGAAAAACCUUAACUGUGCACAGGAGAAGCCUGGCAGACACCACCUUAUUCUGGGGACUGAGUUAACCUUGCCUGAAAUGGGACACACAAUACCUUGUGGCUCCAGGGAUGAUGCAUGAAGGCCAAAUAUAGCCUUUGAGGUAUUCUCACCCAAAAUGCACAGCCUGCAUCUAAUUGUCGGGAGACAUCAGACCAACCCAAAUUGAUGGCUGUUCUGCAAAAUGCCUAAUUGUGCUCCUCAGAGGUCUCAGGGGCAUGAGGGACAGGGAAGAGUGGAGAAGCCAGAGGCAUGGCAUCACCAAAAGUAACAAGGGACCCAGGAGGGGGUUCUGGGACAGAAAAGGGAUCUUGAUAGAAAAACGAAGGAAAGCUGAGUGACGUCCAGAGUGUGGUGAAUAGAACACAUUUAGUUUUGAACAAUUGGCAUAGUUAUGCACCACUGGGUUGGACGAGGGGACCCAGGACUCUCAGUGCCACUCCUGCGAUGUUUAUGAAAGUCUGAAAUUAUUUCAAAAUAAAAAGUUAAACCUGGGCAACAUAGCAAGACCCCCUUUCUUAAAAAACAAACAAACAUAAAUGAGCUGGGCAUGGUGGUGUGCAUCUGUAGUCCUAGCUACUUGGGACGCUGAGGCAGGAGGAUUGCUUGAG
This 977-nucleotide long non-coding RNA is filed under the name Homo sapiens (human). RNAcentral describes it as "HSALNT0023281". Lineage: Eukaryota; Metazoa; Chordata; Mammalia; Primates; Hominidae. The record is from RNAcentral.